This 429-nucleotide ribosomal RNA is filed under the name uncultured bacterium. RNAcentral describes it as "bacterial SSU rRNA". It matches the Rfam family "Bacterial small subunit ribosomal RNA", at positions 28 to 333 of the family's 1533-position model. The record is from RNAcentral.
GACGAACGCUGGCGGUGUGCCUAAGGUAUGCAAGUUGUGCGGCAGCAUGCUUCUCACUGAGGUUCGAAAACAAUAAGUCAAGUAAUAAUGCUUAAUGAAUAAUCAAUGCGAUUAAUGCAUUGAAUAAUCUAAAUCAUAAACCUAUUCAUUGAACAUUGACACUUGAAGAUUGAAUAUUUUCGAACUUGAGUGAGAAGUGAUGGCGAGCGGCGGACGGCUGAGUAACGCGUGGGAACAUACCCCGAAGUGAGGGAUAAUUCCGAGAAAUCGGGACUAAUACCGCAUAUGCUCUAAGGAGUAAAGCAGCAAUGCGCUUCGGGAAUGGCCUGCGUCUGAUUAGCUUGUUGGUGAGGUAAUAGCUCACCAAGGCGACGAUCGGUAGCUGGUCUGAGAGGAUGAUCAGCCAGACUGGGACUGAGACACGGCCCA